CUGGAGGUAUCAGAAGUGCGAAUGCUGACAUAAGUAACGAUAAAGCGGGUGAAAAGCCCGCUCGCCGGAAGACCAAGGGUUCCUGUCCAACGUUAAUCGGGGCAGGGUGAGUCGACCCCUAAGGCGAGGCCGAAAGGCGUAGUCGAUGGGAAACGGGUUAAUAUUCCCGUACUUGGUGUUACUGCGAAGGGGGGACGGAGAAGGCUAUGUUGGCCGGGCGACGGUUGUCCCGGUUUAAGCGUGUAGGUGUGUGUUCCAGGUAAAUCCGGUUCACUUUAACACUGAGGCGUGAUGACGAGGCACUACGGUGCUGAAGCAACAAAUGCCCUGCUUCCAGGAAAAGCCUCUAAGCAUCAGGUAACAUCAAAUCGUACCCCAAACCGACACAGGUGGUCAGGUAGAGAAUACCAAGGCGCUUGAGAGAACUCGGGUGAAGGAACUAGGCAAAAUGGUGCCGUAACUUCGGGAGAAGGCACGCUGACACGUAGGUGAAGUGAUUUACUCAUGGAGCUGAAGUCAGUCGAAGAUACCAGCUGGCUGCAACUGUUUAUUAAAAACACAGCACUGUGCAAACACGAAAGUGGACGUAUACGGUGUGACGCCUGCCCGGUGCCGGAAGGUUAAUUGAUGGGGUCAGCGCAAGCGAAGCUCCUGAUCGAAGCCCCGGUAAACGGCGGCCGUAACUAUAACGGUCCUAAGGUAGCGAAAUUCCUUGUCGGGUAAGUUCCGACCUGCACGAAUGGCGUAAUGAUGGCCAGGCUGUCUCCACCCGAGACUCAGUGAAAUUGAACUCGCUGUGAAGAUGCAGUGUACCCGCGGCAAGACGGAAAGACCCCGUGAACCUUUACUAUAGCUUGACACUGAACAUUGAGCCUUGAUGUGUAGGAUAGGUGGGAGGCUUUGAAGUGUGGACGCCAGUCUGCAUGGAGCCGGCCUUGAAAUACCACCCUUUAAUGUUUGAUGUUCUAACGUGGACCCGUGAUCCGGGUUGCGGACAGUGUCUGGUGGGUAGUUUGACUGGGGCGGUCUCCUCCUAAAGAGUAACGGAGGAGCACGAAGGUUGGCUAAUCCUGGUCGGACAUCAGGAGGUUAGUGCAAUGGCAUAAGCCAGCUUGACUGCGAGCGUGACGGCGCGAGCAGGUGCGAAAGCAGGUCAUAGUGAUCCGGUGGUUCUGAAUGGAAGGGCCAUCGCUCAACGGAUAAAAGGUACUCCGGGGAUAACAGGCUGAUACCGCCCAAGAGUUCAUAUCGACGGCGGUGUUUGGCACCUCGAUGUCGGCUCAUCACAUCCUGGGGCUGAAGUAGGUCCCAAGGGUAUGGCUGUUCGCCAUUUAAAGUGGUACGCGAGCUGGGUUUAGAACGUCGUGAGACAGUUCGGUCCCUAUCUGCCGUGGGCGCUGGAGAACUGAGGGGGGCUGCUCCUAGUACGAGAGGACCGGAGUGGACGCAUCACUGGUGUUCGGGUUGUCAUGCCAAUGGCACUGCCCGGUAGCUAAAUGCGGAAGAGAUAAGUGCUGAAAGCAUCUAAGCACGAAACUUGCCCCGAGAUGAGUUCUCCCUGAGACUUAGAGUCUCCUGAAGGAACGUUGAAGACGACGACGUUGAUAGGCCGGGUGUGUAAGCGCAGCGAUGCGUUGAGCUAACCGGUACUAAUGAACCGUGAGGCUUAACCUU
This 1674-nucleotide ribosomal RNA is filed under the name Salmonella enterica. RNAcentral describes it as "partial 23S ribosomal RNA". It matches the Rfam family "Bacterial large subunit ribosomal RNA", at positions 1273 to 2925 of the family's 2925-position model. The record is from RNAcentral. RNAcentral also lists the same sequence under 2 other names. Lineage: Bacteria; Pseudomonadati; Pseudomonadota; Gammaproteobacteria; Enterobacterales; Enterobacteriaceae.